GCCCUGGUGGUGGAAUUUGGUAGACACAUACGCUUGAGGGGCGUACGGGGAAACCCAUGCCGGUUCGAGUCCGGCCCAGGGCA
Molecule: transfer RNA, 83 nt
Filed under: Deltaproteobacteria bacterium
Lineage: Bacteria; Pseudomonadati; Myxococcota; Myxococcia
Description: tRNA-Leu
Rfam family: tRNA
About the family: Transfer RNA (tRNA) molecules are approximately 80 nucleotides in length. Their secondary structure includes four short double-helical elements and three loops (D, anti-codon, and T loops).
Source: RNAcentral